UGUUAACAUUCGACAUGUAGAAAGAAGUUUUUUCCUUGUCUGGUCUCAGUGAUUUGUUCGUCAUACGCGGCAUAUUUUUUUGUUUUAAAAAAAUUUAAUUUAGUGAAAAUAGAAUAUACAAGAUUUUAUUAAAAAAUAAGUGUUUUGAUUCAAAACUAAACACUCUAUAAAAACUCAUAAAAAGAAUAAUGUCAAUUAAUGAUUUACCACCGUUACCAAAAAGUCUCAGCGGUAUAAAUAAAAUGUUGGCCUCAGAUUCGGGUCUGGUUAGUGAUGUUGAUACCGAAAUAAAAAUACUAAAAAUAAUGAGUUGUUAAAACACUAUGAAAACCAAAAAGAAAAUAAUAAUAAUUUAAAUAUAAAUAAUAAUAACAACAACAUUAAUAGUAAUAAUAAUAAUAAUGCACUUAAAGAUGCAAGUGAUAAAUUUAACAAUGCGUCGUCUGCGACAACAACGCCAGCAACAGUGACAACAGCAACAACAUCGACAACGACACCAUUAAAGGAAAUUAAUGGCAAUGAAACAAUAUCGGAAAUACCACCAGCGAUACCGGGUAGUAAAUUGGAUA
This is a long non-coding RNA of Lucilia sericata (common green bottle fly), 569 nucleotides long. RefSeq lists it as uncharacterized. Lineage: Eukaryota; Metazoa; Arthropoda; Insecta; Diptera; Calliphoridae. The record is from RefSeq and is a predicted model, not a curated record. The transcript has 2 exons.